This 242-nucleotide long non-coding RNA is filed under the name Capsicum annuum. Its description in RNAcentral is "long non-coding RNA (CANN_LNC018130)". The record is from RNAcentral. Lineage: Eukaryota; Viridiplantae; Streptophyta; Magnoliopsida; Solanales; Solanaceae.
UUGUUUUGCUUCCUGAUCUUUACAAGCUUUUAUUUUUCCUGUUUUCUUGAAAAAAAGCUGAACUCAUCCCUCUCUGAAGUUCAUUUCACCAUUAAACAAGUAGAGGCAGAGAAUUGAUAUUUGGUUAGUUUUGGUUGUAAUUGUUUUGCUUCUUGAUCUUAACAAGCUUUUGUUAUUUCUUAUUUAUUUGAAAAAAAAUUGAACUUUUCACUUUCAUGAAAAUAGAGGGAGAAAGUUGAUUU